CAGCCGCCGCGGGAAUACGUAGGUGGCAAGCGUCGUCCGGAAUUAUUGGGCGUAAAGGGCUCGCAGGCGGUUUCUUAAGUCUGAUGUGAAAGCCCCCGGCUCAACCGGGGAGGGUCAUUGGAAACUGGGAAACUUGAGUGCAGAAGAGGAGAGUGGAAUUCCACGUGUAGCGGUGAAAUGCGUAGAGAUGUGGAGGAACACCAGUGGCGAAGGCGACUCUCUGGUCUGUAACUGACGCUGAGGAGCGAAAGCGUGGGGAGCGAACAGGAUUAGAGACCCCAGUAGUCCCUGUCUCUUAUAC
Molecule: ribosomal RNA, 301 nt
Filed under: uncultured bacterium
Lineage: Bacteria
Description: partial 16S ribosomal RNA
Rfam family: Bacterial small subunit ribosomal RNA
Source: RNAcentral